AGAUUGAACGCUAGCGGCAUGCCUAACACAUGCAAGUCGAACGGUAACAGGCCCUUCGGGGUGGCUCGACGAGUGGCGGACGGGUGAGGUAAUGCGUAGGAAUCUACCCACGAGUGGGGGAUAGCCCGGAGGAAAUCCGGAUUAAUACCGCAUAUGCCCUACGGGGUAAAGCGGGGGAGUCGUAAGACCGUCGACGCUGGUGGAUGAGCCUACGUCCGAUUAGUUAGUUGGUGGGGUAAAGGCCUACCAAGGCUACGGAUCGGUAGCUGGUCUGAGAGGACGACCAGCCACACUGGGACUGAGACACGGCCCAGACUCCUACGGGAGGCA
This 330-nucleotide ribosomal RNA is filed under the name uncultured prokaryote. RNAcentral's name for it is "bacterial SSU rRNA". It matches the Rfam family "Bacterial small subunit ribosomal RNA", at positions 26 to 350 of the family's 1533-position model. The record is from RNAcentral.